Molecule: ribosomal RNA, 468 nt
Filed under: uncultured bacterium
Lineage: Bacteria
Description: partial 16S ribosomal RNA
Rfam family: Bacterial small subunit ribosomal RNA
Source: RNAcentral
GACGAACGCUGGCGGCGUGCUUAACACAUGCAAGUCGAACGGAAAUGCCCUGCUUUUGUGGGGUGCUCGAGUGGCGAACGGGUGAGUAACACGUGAGUAACCUGCCCUUGACUUUGGGAUAACUUCAUGAAACUGGGGCUAAUACCGGAUAGGAGCUCCUGCUUCAUGGUGGGGGUUGGAAUGUUUCGGCGGUUGGGGAUGGACUCGCGGCUUAUCAGCUUGUUGGUGGGGUAGUGGCUUACCAAGGCUUUGACGGGUAGCCGGCCUGAGAGGGUGACCGGCGACAUUGGGACUGAGAUACGGCACAGACUCAUACGGGAGGCAGGAGUGGGGAAUAUUGCACAGUGGGCGGAAGCCUGAUGCAGCAACGCCGCGUGCGGGAUAACGGCCUUCGGGUUGGAAACCGCUUUCGCCUGUGACGAAGCGUGAGUGACGGUAAUGGGUGAAGAAGCACCGGCUAACUACGUG